This 401-nucleotide ribosomal RNA is filed under the name uncultured bacterium. Its description in RNAcentral is "bacterial SSU rRNA". It matches the Rfam family "Bacterial small subunit ribosomal RNA", at positions 29 to 429 of the family's 1533-position model. The record is from RNAcentral.
AUUGAACGCUGGCGGCAGGCCUAACACAUGCAAGUCGAACGGCAGCACAGAAGAGCUUGCUCUUUGGGUGGCGAGUGGCGGACGGGUGAGUAACACGUAGGAAUCUACCCAGUAGUGGGGGAUAACCUGGGGAAACCCAGGCUAAUACCGCAUACGCCCUGAGGGGGAAGCGGGGGAUCUCCGGACCUCGCGCUAUUGGAUGAGCCUGCGUCGGAUUAGCUAGUUGGUGGGGUAAGGGCUCACCAAGGCGACGAUCCGUAGCUGGUCUGAGAGGAUGACCAGUCACACCGGAACUGAGACACGGUCCGGACUCCUACGGGAGGCAGCAGUGGGGAAUAUUGGACAAUGGGCGCAAGCCUGAUCCAGCCAUGCCGCGUGGGUGAAGAAGGCCUCGGUGUAAG